Molecule: ribosomal RNA, 2917 nt
Filed under: Vibrio agarilyticus
Lineage: Bacteria; Pseudomonadati; Pseudomonadota; Gammaproteobacteria; Vibrionales; Vibrionaceae
Description: Vibrio sp. SM6 23S ribosomal RNA
Rfam family: Bacterial large subunit ribosomal RNA
Source: RNAcentral
GUUGUAUGGUUAAGUGACUAAGCGUACACGGUGGAUGCCUUGGCAGUCAGAGGCGAUGAAGGACGUAGUAACUUGCGAUAAGCCCAGAUAAGGUAGUAACAACCUGUGAGUCUGGGAUUUCCGAAUGGGGAAACCCACUAGCACAAGCUAGUAUCGCUGAGUGAAUACAUAGCUCAGCGAGGCGAACCGGGGGAACUGAAACAUCUAAGUACCCCGAGGAGAAGAAAUCAACCGAGAUUCCGAAAGUAGCGGCGAGCGAAAUUGGAUUAGCCCUUAAGCUUUAUAUGCGUUAGACGAACGGUCUGGAAAGUCCGGCGAUACAGGGUGAUAGCCCCGUAGUCGACAACGCACAUUCAGUGAAAACGAGUAGGGCGGGACACGUGUUAUCCUGUCUGAAUAUGGGGGGACCAUCCUCCAAGGCUAAAUACUCCUGACUGACCGAUAGUGAACCAGUACCGUGAGGGAAAGGCGAAAAGAACCCCUGUGAGGGGAGUGAAAUAGAACCUGAAACCGUGUACGUACAAGCAGUAGGAGCAGGCUUUGUCCUGUGACUGCGUACCUUUUGUAUAAUGGGUCAGCGACUUAUAUUCAGUGGCAAGGUUAACCAUCUAGGGGAGCCGUAGGGAAACCGAGUCUUAACUGGGCGUUCAGUCUCUGGAUAUAGACCCGAAACCGGGUGAUCUAGCCAUGGGCAGGUUGAAGGUUGAGUAACAUCAACUGGAGGACCGAACCGACUAAUGUUGAAAAAUUAGCGGAUGACUUGUGGCUAGGGGUGAAAGGCCAAUCAAACUCGGAGAUAGCUGGUUCUCCCCGAAAGCUAUUUAGGUAGCGCCUCGGACGAAUACUACUGGGGGUAGAGCACUGUUAAGGCUAGGGGGUCAUCCCGACUUACCAACCCUUUGCAAACUCCGAAUACCAGUAAGUACUAUCCGGGAGACACACGGCGGGUGCUAACGUCCGUCGUGGAGAGGGAAACAACCCAGACCGCCAGCUAAGGUCCCAAAUUAUAGCUAAGUGGGAAACGAUGUGGGAAGGCUUAGACAGCUAGGAUGUUGGCUUAGAAGCAGCCAUCAUUUAAAGAAAGCGUAAUAGCUCACUAGUCGAGUCGGCCUGCGCGGAAGAUGUAACGGGGCUAAGCUAUAAACCGAAGCUGCGGCAAUGAAGUUUACUUCAUUGGGUAGGGGAGCGUUCUGUAAGCCGUUGAAGGUGUGUUGUAAAGCAUGCUGGAGGUAUCAGAAGUGCGAAUGCUGACAUGAGUAACGAUAAAGGGGGUGAAAAACCUCCUCGCCGGAAGACCAAGGGUUCCUGUCCAACGUUAAUCGGGGCAGGGUGAGUCGACCCCUAAGGCGAGGCCGAAAGGCGUAGUCGAUGGGAAACGGGUUAAUAUUCCCGUACUCAAUCAAAUUGCGAUGGGGGGACGGAGAAGGCUAGGUGGGCCUGGCGACGGUUGUCCAGGUUCAAGUGCGUAGGCUGAAGGUUUAGGUAAAUCCGGACCUUCUUAAGGCUGAGACACGACGUCGAGCACCUACGGGUGUGAAGUCAUUGAUGCCAUGCUUCCAGGAAAAGCCUCUAAGCUUCAGAUUUGAUGGAAUCGUACCCCAAACCGACACAGGUGGUCGGGUAGAGAAUACCAAGGCGCUUGAGAGAACUCGGGUGAAGGAACUAGGCAAAAUGGUACCGUAACUUCGGGAGAAGGUACGCUCUUAUUGGUGAAGUCCCUUGCGGAUGGAGCUGACGAGAGUCGCAGAUACCAGGUGGCUGCAACUGUUUAUUAAAAACACAGCACUGUGCAAAAUCGCAAGAUGACGUAUACGGUGUGACGCCUGCCCGGUGCCGGAAGGUUAAUUGAUGGGGUUAGUGGUAACACGAAGCUCUUGAUCGAAGCCCCGGUAAACGGCGGCCGUAACUAUAACGGUCCUAAGGUAGCGAAAUUCCUUGUCGGGUAAGUUCCGACCUGCACGAAUGGCGUAAUGAUGGCCACGCUGUCUCCACCCGAGACUCAGUGAAAUUGAAAUCGCUGUGAAGAUGCAGUGUACCCGCGGCUAGACGGAAAGACCCCGUGAACCUUUACUACAGCUUGGCACUGAACAUUGACCCUACAUGUGUAGGAUAGGUGGGAGGCUUUGAAGCGCAGACGCUAGUUUGUGUGGAGCCGUCCUUGAAAUACCACCCUUGUAGUGUUGAUGUUCUAACUUGGUCCCCUAAUCGGGGAUGAGGACAGUGCCUGGUGGGUAGUUUGACUGGGGCGGUCUCCUCCCAAAGAGUAACGGAGGAGCACGAAGGUGGGCUAAUCACGGUUGGACAUCGUGAGGUUAGUGCAAUGGCAUAAGCCCGCUUAACUGCGAGAAUGACGGUUCGAGCAGGUGCGAAAGCAGGUCAUAGUGAUCCGGUGGUUCUGAAUGGAAGGGCCAUCGCUCAACGGAUAAAAGGUACUCCGGGGAUAACAGGCUGAUACCGCCCAAGAGUUCAUAUCGACGGCGGUGUUUGGCACCUCGAUGUCGGCUCAUCACAUCCUGGGGCUGAAGUCGGUCCCAAGGGUAUGGCUGUUCGCCAUUUAAAGUGGUACGCGAGCUGGGUUUAGAACGUCGUGAGACAGUUCGGUCCCUAUCUGCCGUGGGCGUUGGAAGAUUGAAGGGGGCUGCUCCUAGUACGAGAGGACCGGAGUGGACGAACCUCUGGUGUUCGGGUUGUGUCGCCAGACGCAUUGCCCGGUAGCUAAGUUCGGAAUUGAUAACCGCUGAAAGCAUCUAAGCGGGAAGCAAGCCCUGAGAUGAGUCUUCCCUGACACUUUAAGUGUCCUAAAGGGUUGUUCGAGACUAGAACGUUGAUAGGCAGGGUGUGUAAGCGUUGUGAGGCGUUGAGCUAACCUGUACUAAUUGCCCGUGAGGCUUAACCAUACAACACCCAAAGGGUUUUG